UGAAACACCGAUUCCCGUAGGAUCACUGAAGUUAAGCAACGUUGAACCUGGUUAAUACUUAAAUGCGUGAGCUCUUGGGAAUACCAGAUUCU
Non-coding RNA from Acanthosepion pharaonis, 92 nucleotides. NCBI's taxonomy places the organism in Eukaryota, Metazoa, Mollusca, Cephalopoda, Sepiida, Sepiidae. The record is from the annotation of a GenBank genome assembly.